RNAcentral lists this ribosomal RNA (253 nucleotides) under uncultured bacterium. RNAcentral's name for it is "partial 16S ribosomal RNA". It matches the Rfam family "Bacterial small subunit ribosomal RNA", at positions 524 to 776 of the family's 1533-position model. The record is from RNAcentral.
UACGUAGGGUGCGAGCGUUAAUCGGAAUUACUGGGCGUAAAGUGUGCGCAGGCGGCAGAGCAAGUCGAGUGUGAAAGCCCCGGGCUUAACUUGGGAAUUGCGCUCGAAACUACUUUGCUGGAGUGUGGCAGAGGAAGGUGGAAUUCCACGUGUAGCGGUGAAAUGCGUAGAGAUGUGGAGGAACACCAAUGGCGAGGGCAGCCUUCUGGGCCAACACUGACGCUCAUGCACGAAAGCGUGGGGAGCAAACAGG